UGUGGUCCGAGCUGAAGCACUGGGGUGG
This 28-nucleotide non-coding RNA is filed under the name Cricetulus griseus (Chinese hamster). The record is from RNAcentral. Lineage: Eukaryota; Metazoa; Chordata; Mammalia; Rodentia; Cricetidae.